Vespa mandarinia (Asian giant hornet) is the source of this 2046-nucleotide long non-coding RNA. Lineage: Eukaryota; Metazoa; Arthropoda; Insecta; Hymenoptera; Vespidae. The record is from RefSeq and is a predicted model, not a curated record.
CGGUUGGCUAGAUAAUCAAAAAACAAUAACCUAAAAUUAUUUUUAAAAGACGGACCAGCGCGCCAAAUGUACAAGUAUACACAUACAUAUAUAAUACCAUGUUGGGGAUGUGAUCUAAUGCGUAUUAUAUCGAUAGUAUUUUGAAGUUUUGUCAGGCGCUAUAUCAUGCCAAGUUUUUUAAGAAUAAUGAUGGCCGACCAGCGUCGGUAGCAUCUACUGCUGGAUGCACAGGUAUUCACAGAGCACAAAGAGUACUUGGCUAUAACAAACAUUUUAUUCAACUAUCAUUGUGGUAUCAGAUAUAAACGAACAUUUUUAUCAUCGUUAAAAGUACUAAACCGAAUGGCCUAAGGUACGCGUAUAAGUGUGAGCGUGUGAACUGUGUAUGAAUGUAUGUAUGUGGUUUUCGUCUCAUAUUUCUGCUGCUAUAAGACGUCUUGUGUCAGCAUAAAUGUGACCACCCCUUUUAAAUAAAAUUAUAUCUAGGCGCAUCUUCAUGCGUCAUAGACUUGACACGAAUGCGAUAACAGCAACGUUAAAAAAUAUAAUACAAUAGGGGGCAAUUACAGAAUGAAAAAAAUAAUACAUGUUUUGUAUUUGAUAUCACAUACAGCCCGGGCCAAUCUGUACUGGACAUGUAUCUUAAUUAUAUUAGAUUUCGUACUGUAAACCUUUUUACUUCGCGAACUUCUACGUACAUUGUGAAUAUCGAAUAAUUUUUAAAUGUUGUUGUUUCUCUUUUCUUUUUUUUUACAGAUCUUUCAAAGAGUAAUGGGCAAUGUGAGAUAUCUCAGUCUUAAUGACGGGAUCGAUGAAGCCGUUGUUACAAACCAGAAUGAUUGUGGUGCAGAGGAGUAUGUAGUUGACGAUACAAUAUAUCUGCUGUUGCUGUGUUGUAUUAGGAUGUAGACUGGGAGUUAAUGUAUAGUUCAGAAAUACUGAACUUAUAAAAGUGGACGCAGUUCUUCCAAGGGCAUCAGAACCCCACUUGUAACUCCGUCCAUACUUCCCAAUCCGUUUGUUCCAUGAACUGGUAAGCUGUUCACAGUCAUGCUACGGUCAUCUGUAACGACCUUCUAAUUAAAAAAUUGAUUCGAAUAGUGAUCCAUUAAUUAUUUUACGAAUGAAAGAGAUAACAGGAUUUUUAUAGGUAUUAACGAAAACGAGAAAUUGACUACAUACAUACAUACAUACAUCAUAUAUAUAUAUAUAUACAUACAUAUAUAUAUAUAUGUAUGUAUAUAUAAAUAUAAUUCACAUAUUUAUAUAUACAAAUGAAUUAAAAUGAGAUCUUAUAUAUAACAAAGUAAUUAAUACAAGAUAUCAGUACAUGCAAAAUUGUGAUAAAGUUUUGACAUUGCAUAUAUCAUUUUUUAUGAGUGUUAUUAACAUAGGAAUACUAAUAACAACAAGAUUUUUAGGAAUGUCGUACUUAAAUCUAUAUGUAAUAGAGUAAAUUUACAUUUUAUUACAAUUAUUUCUCAAAGAGUAAGCAUUUUUAUCUUUAAACAUUAUAUUCUUAAAAUAAGAUAAAGUAUAACAACUAUAUUGUAUUCCUAUAUAUUCCAACAUUCCUCUAAAUUGUUAAUAUUGGUAUUCCCAUAACUUCUUUUACUAUUCAUAUACACAUUUUGUUUUCAUCGUAUAAUACAGAUAGAAUGGUGUCUACAAUUUUCCACCUGGAAAUAGUUACGCAAUAUUCAGAAAUAUUACUAUUAAUGUUACAAGAUCAUAUUAAUACAAUGAUAAAGAGAUGUCGUACAAUUUACAUUUAUAUAUAUAUAUUAUACAAUUUAUAAUAAAUAUAUAUAAAUUUUAUACUUUUAUAUAUCUAUAUUUAUUAUUAUUAUAAUAAUUACAAUAAUAAAUAUAAAUAUAUAUAAGAUAUCAAUAAGAUAUAUAAAAGAUUUUAAUUUCUUAAUAAAUAAAAAUAAUUUUAAUUCGACAUUUACCUGGGUUGCUACUCACCUACAGGCAAUGAGCCUGCCAUGGGAGUAGGUGAUGAUGAUACCAUAUUUAAUCGACCCUGUUCUUUUACUAUGGGAU